Long non-coding RNA from Myotis davidii, 1273 nucleotides. RefSeq lists it as uncharacterized. NCBI's taxonomy places the organism in Eukaryota, Metazoa, Chordata, Mammalia, Chiroptera, Vespertilionidae. The record is from RefSeq and is a predicted model, not a curated record. The transcript has 2 exons.
CCGUCUCCGCUCGGCCGCUGUUGGUUGUUGACUUUGGGCAAAUAACUUAACAUCUCUAAAGUCUGUUCCCUACCCCUGGAGGGGGGCCGAAGCUGCCCGUGCCCGAGAAGCCGUUUCAUUUCGCAGACAUGGUCUGUACGCGGCAGGAUUUAAUCAAUGCCGUACUGCAGCCACCUCUUGACUCACCUCUUUGUGGCAGGAAAGUUGCCCAAUUAACGAUGAGCUCAGUGACUAAGGAUGGGCUGGUGUACACACAGGCUCUGAAAUCUGCUCUGCCGCGGGAUCUUGGGCAUAGCAGUGAUCAGUGAAGAAGAAAGCCCAGGUGUGGGAAAACUGCUACUCCAACCAAGAAAGUAACACACAGGCAAGACACAUCUAAGUUAGUGAAAGGUCAGCCGCACCAGUCCUCACAUAAGAGAAAACGCAAGAGAAAAGGAAAUUCAGAUCCCAAGGGUUAAACUCCAAAGGUGGACAAUUGCUUGCAUUUACUGACAAGCUGACCAUGAAUUCCAGGUAAGGUUGAAAUUUUUCUUGUUUCUUGGUUGGUCUCUCUCAGCAUAUAUUCCAUUAUGUAUUGAAAAUUGUUAGAACCACAGACUCUCAGAGGCCAUCCAACUGAACUGACUACUGAUCUGCACUGUUUCUUUCAUAAUUUAAAGGUUAAUAGUCUCUCACAAGCAUCUUUUUUCUCUGUAAAAUGUAACCUUAAAAGUUUUGCUGAUAUGUGACUUGAUCCCUGUAGGCACAUACCAUUCAUUUUAAAAGCGUAAACAGGUAGAAAGAGGACCCAGUAUGUACACGCUCAGCACCAAUUUAGCGGUGUGUACACUCUGCUCUUUGCUAUACCGUAGAUGACCUGGAUUUUUCUAGUGUACUCUGGACAUAUUACCUAGUCUGUCAAUAUUGUCCUUCAAAUUGAUAGAAAGCAGGGACUGGGUGAUGUUCUUGCAAUUAAUUCUACACAGAGAUGCAUACAGAUGAUGAAUGAAGCCUCGUGUGGUGACCUGCCAGUGUUCUCCGAGGACUAAAUGCUGAGCCUCAGAAACUAGAGCAGCCAUCCUUUUGUCAACAGAUCGCCAAGGGCCUCGGGACAGGGGAUAAGAGAUAUGCAUCGCUGCCCAAUUUUACUGGAUUUCAGCCCUUUAUGCUGCUGCCAAGAUGAGUCUUCUGAGUCCUGACCUUUUCCCCCUGGACAACUUUACCAUUUUGUAUAUCUCAAUGAACAGUUUGGUUCUUACCUGGGAAUAGCUAUCCUAGAUGAGCAAAAUUAUCA